UACGGAGGGGGCUAGCGUUGUUCGGAAUUACUGGGCGUAAAGCGCACGUAGGCGGCUUUGUAAGUUAGAGGUGAAAGCCCGGGGCUCAACUCCGGAAUUGCCUUUAAGACUGCAUCGCUAGAAUUGUGGAGAGGUAAGUGGAAUUUCGAGUGUAGAGGUGAAAUUCGUAGAUAUUCGGAAGAACACCAGUGGCGAAGGCGACUUACUGGACACAUAUUGACGCUGAGGUGCGAAAAGCGUGGGGAGCAAACAGG
This 254-nucleotide ribosomal RNA is filed under the name uncultured bacterium. RNAcentral describes it as "partial 16S ribosomal RNA". It matches the Rfam family "Bacterial small subunit ribosomal RNA", at positions 524 to 776 of the family's 1533-position model. The record is from RNAcentral.